This 1031-nucleotide ribosomal RNA is filed under the name uncultured organism. RNAcentral's name for it is "bacterial SSU rRNA". It matches the Rfam family "Bacterial small subunit ribosomal RNA", at positions 21 to 1073 of the family's 1533-position model. The record is from RNAcentral.
GGCUCAGGAUGAACGCUAGCGGCGCGCUUAAUGCAUGCAAGUCGAGCGAUGAGGCCUUCUUCGGAGGGCACAUCAGCGGCAGACGGGUGAGUAACACGUGGGUGACCUGCCCUUGAGACGGGGAUAACGGAUGGAAACAUGCGCUAAUACCCGAUAGGGUCCCAGGGUCAAAGCUGGGAUGAAAGCUUUGGUGCUCAAGGAGGGGCUCGCGGCCCAUCAGCUAGUUGGUGAGGUAACGGCUCACCAAGGCGAAGACGGGUAGGGGGUGUGAGAGCACGGCCCCCCACAAUGGGACUGAGACACGGCCCAUACUCCUACGGGAGGCAGCAGCAGGGAAUAUUGCACAAUGGACGGAAGUCUGAUGCAGCGACGCCGCGUGGAUGAUGAAGGCCUUCGGGUUGUAAAAUCCUUUACGGGGUGACGAGGAAGGACGGUAGCCCCGGAACAAGCGUCGGCUAACUACGUGCCAGCAGCCGCGGUAAGACGUAGGACGCAAGCGUUAUCCGGAUUUACUGGGCGUAAAGCGUCUGUAGGCGGAUGAGUAAGUUGGGCGUGAAAGCUCCGGGCUCAACCCGGAGAGGCCGUUCAAUACUGCUGAUCUAGAGGAGGCCAGAGGGGAGUGGAAUUCCUGGAGUAGCGGUAAAAUGCGCAGAUAUCAGGAAGAACACCAGUGGCGAAGGCGGCUCCCUAGGGCCCACCUGACGCUGAGAGACGACAGCUAGGGGAGCGAACAGGAUUAGAGACCCUGGUAGUCCUAGCCGUAAACGAUGGAUGCUAGGUGUAGGCCCGUAGAGGCUCUGUGCCGGAGCGAACGCGAUAAGCAUCCCGCCUGGGGAGUACGCCCGCAAGGCUAAAACUCAAACGAAUUGACGGGGACCCGCACAAGCAGCGGAGCGUGUGGUUUAAUUCGAUGCAACACGAAGAACAUCACGUGGGUUAGACAUGGGCGUGGUAGUGAAGCGAAAGCGGAGCGACCAUUCGGGGAGCGUCCACAGGUGCUGCAUGGCUGUCGUCAGCUCGCGCCGUGAGGU